Long non-coding RNA from Culex quinquefasciatus (southern house mosquito), 299 nucleotides. RefSeq lists it as uncharacterized. The record is from RefSeq and is a predicted model, not a curated record. Lineage: Eukaryota; Metazoa; Arthropoda; Insecta; Diptera; Culicidae. The transcript has 3 exons.
UUUUGUUUUUGUUGUUUGAUGGAGGGUAAAUAAUUAUUAGUGAAAAUUGUGCAAAUACGGUUCACGGAUUUUCCGAAUAGUAUUUCAGCACCGAGCAGACUCCCGCCGCGGUUGCGUUCCUGUUUCAUGGGUUGCCAAAUGAUGGUUUCUACGUUAACGCUCCGAACCAACGCAAGCGGGCAUUCUUGCACUAGGACUUCUUAGUGCACGUGGAACGAACCAUACAGGACUUCAGUCGACCAAAGGCCAUGCUCGCUCGGGUCGUUGGCAAUCUUAACGGAAAAGAUUGCAGCUUCAUU